GGGCGUUUAGCUCAGCUGGCUAGAGCGCAUGGAUCACACCCAUGAGGUCGGGGGUUCAAGUCCCUCAACGCCCACCA
Molecule: transfer RNA, 77 nt
Filed under: Phycisphaerae bacterium
Lineage: Bacteria; Pseudomonadati; Planctomycetota; Phycisphaerae
Description: tRNA-Val
Rfam family: tRNA
About the family: Transfer RNA (tRNA) molecules are approximately 80 nucleotides in length.
Source: RNAcentral